RNAcentral lists this ribosomal RNA (490 nucleotides) under uncultured bacterium. RNAcentral describes it as "partial 16S ribosomal RNA". It matches the Rfam family "Bacterial small subunit ribosomal RNA", at positions 30 to 507 of the family's 1533-position model. The record is from RNAcentral.
AUUGAACGCUGGCGGCAGGCCUAACACAUGCAAGUCGAACGGUAACAGGAAACAGCUUGCUGUUUCGCUGACGAGUGGCGGACGGGUGAGUAAUGUCUGGGAAACUGCCUGAUGGAGGGGGAUAACUACUGGAAACGGUAGCUAAUACCGCAUAACGUCGCAAGACCAAAGAGGGGGACCUUCGGGCCUCUUGCCAUCGGAUGUGCCCAGAUGGGAUUAGCUAGUAGGUGGGGUAACGGCUCACCUAGGCGACGAUCCCUAGCUGGUCUGAGAGGAUGACCAGCCACCCUGGAACUGAGCCACGGUCCAGACUCCUACGGGAGGCAGCAGUGGGGAAUAUUGCACAAUGGGCGCAAGCCUGAUGCAGCCAUGCCGCGUGUAUGAAGAAGGCCUUCGGGUUGUAAAGUACUUUCAGCGGGGAUGAAGGGAGUAAAGUUAAUACCUUGGCUCAUUGACGUUACCCGCAGAAGAAGCACCGGCUAGCUCCGUG